GACGAACGCUGGCGGCGUGCUUAACACAUGCAAGUCGAACGGAAAGGCCCUUCGGGGUACUCGAGUGGCGAACGGGUGAGUAACACGUGGGUGAUCUGCCCUGCACUUUGGGAUAGGCCUGGGAAACUGGGUCUAAUACCGGAUAGGACUACGCGAUGCAUGUCGUGUGGUGGAAAGCUUUUGCGGUGUGGGAUGGGCCCGCGGCCUAUCAGCUUGUUGGUGAGGUUAUGGCUUACCAAGGCGACGACGGGUAGCCGGCCUGAGAGGGUGACCGGCCACACUGGGACUGAGAUACGGCCCAGACUCCUACGGGAGGCAGCAGUGGGGAAUAUUGCACAAUGGGCGCAAGCCUGAUGCAGCGACGCCGCGUGAGGGAUGACGGCCUUCGGGUUGUAAACCUCUUUCAGCAGGGACGAAGCGCAAGUGACGGUACCUGUAGAAGAAGGACCGGCCAACUACGUGCCAGCCGCCGCAGUAA
Molecule: ribosomal RNA, 478 nt
Filed under: uncultured bacterium
Lineage: Bacteria
Description: partial 16S ribosomal RNA
Rfam family: Bacterial small subunit ribosomal RNA
Source: RNAcentral